GGUCACACCUACCCAGCCCGAUAGUGAACUCAAGUUCACAAGCACGGCUGUACUGACGCCAGCAGUGAAAGUGUUGACCCCAGGCCCCAUCUCCUUGAGCAAGGCCCAACAACUGAAGGAGCCAUCACCCCCCCGCUGUCUGCAUUACGUUAAGACGGUGGUGCCCAAGGGCAGCAAACGCCGCAUGAGACGGUCAAGAGUCACGAGAAACAGGCAGGCGCUUGAAGAAAGGUGUAAUAAAUACAAGAAAGAGGUUCUGAGAAAGAGGAGAAUAUAUCGAGAUCUCCAAGGGAAGAGAGAUGGACUGAUUGCAAGAGCUGCAGCGAAAUUGGCCGCUCAGUUGGCGGCAAAGUACCCCAGGGCCCUCUCUGAAGCGGAGGCAGAGAGCGAUGUUGAAGGGGAGAAAAAAACAAUGCCCGAAGAAGCGAUUAAGGGGAAACUAAAGAAGAAGCUUGAAGAGUUCAACCUGAAGAUGAAGCGGAAAUCGACGCAACAAACACCAACAUAAACUCAAAGGCAGUUUGUUAUCUUCACUUGGCAUCAUGAGCUCAUCUCCCACUAGAAUAGAACCUGCUGCUGACCCAUCUAGACCCUAUGGACAUCAGUUGGCUUACAUUGUUACCUAUCAACCAUUUAUAGAUUUGUAAUGACACUAGCAAAGGAUUUGUUAUCUUUGAGCCACAUCCUUUAAGGCUACAUAGUGAAGUUUUUUUUUUCAGAUUGGGUUUAUCUGUAGUAGCAUGGGUACGGUCAGGGGCUUUUCUUGACAACGUGAUCUGACUAGCAAAAAUGAUUGCCUAUAUAGGCUUUUCGCUUUAAUUAGGUCCUGGAUAUUUUCCUAGGCUGGUCAUUUGGUCGGGAAAAACUCUUAACCCAUUUCUGUGGAUCCUCUUUCACUGUGUAUAUAUACAAAAUAAAGAGUUAUUUUAUUUCUUUUUCUCAAAAAGUUA
Oncorhynchus tshawytscha (Chinook salmon) is the source of this 950-nucleotide long non-coding RNA. RefSeq lists it as uncharacterized. The record is from RefSeq and is a predicted model, not a curated record. Lineage: Eukaryota; Metazoa; Chordata; Actinopteri; Salmoniformes; Salmonidae. The transcript has 3 exons.